UAAAAAGACAAAAAAAAAAAAAAAAAUUGGUAAACAUCCCAAGGAAUAAAAAAGGGAGCAGAAGCAGACGAAGUCCCGAGAGGCGAGCGAGCGGGUCAGCGGCGGCGUCGUGCGUUUCCUCAUGUAAAAGUAGCUUCUUAGUGGCGUUGUCACUUCUGUGUAGAGUAAGCCAAGCAAAAAACUGUGAUCCUCAUUUGUUGAAAACAUGCAGCUUGAAUGGGGGAAAAUAUAUGAAACUGAUUGA
Molecule: long non-coding RNA, 244 nt
Organism: Penaeus chinensis
Lineage: Eukaryota; Metazoa; Arthropoda; Malacostraca; Decapoda; Penaeidae
Exons: 2
Source: RefSeq, a predicted model, not a curated record